GAUGAACGCUGGCGGCGUGCUUAACACAUGCAAGUCGAACGAGGACGCCCCAGCUUGCUGGAGUGGAUCAGUUGCGAACGGGUGAGUAACACGUGAGCAACCUGCCCCUGACUCUGGGAUAACAGCCGGACACGGCUGCUAAUACCGGAUAUGCACCAUGAACGCUGGUUCUGCGGUGGGAAAGAUAUUUCGGUUGGGGAUGGGUUCGCGGCCUAGCAGCUUGUUGGUGAGGUAAUGGCGCGCCAAGGCGUCGACGGUUAGCCGGCCUGAGAGGGUGACCGGCAACCUUGGGACGGAGACACGGCCCAGACUCCUACGGGAGGGAGGAGGGGGGAAUAUUGCACAAUGGGCGAGAGCCAGAUGCAGCCACGCCGGGUGCGGGAGGAAUGCCUUCGGGUUGGAAGCCAAUUUUAGUAGGCAAGAAGGGAGAGUGAAGGUACGUGCAGAAAAACCGCCGGCUAACUCGUG
RNAcentral lists this ribosomal RNA (468 nucleotides) under uncultured bacterium. RNAcentral's name for it is "partial 16S ribosomal RNA". It matches the Rfam family "Bacterial small subunit ribosomal RNA", at positions 28 to 507 of the family's 1533-position model. The record is from RNAcentral.